UACAGAGGGUGCGAGCGUUGUCCGGCUUUAUUGGGCGUAAAGCGUCUGUAGGCGGCUUACCAAGUCUGAAGUGAAAGCAUGGAGCUCAACUCCAUCUCCGCUUCGGAAACUGGCAAGCUAGAGAAUGUUAGGGGUAAGUAGAAUUUCCAGUGUAGCGGUGAAAUGCGUAGAUAUUGGAAGGAAUACCAGAGGCGAAGGCGACUUACUGGGACAUUUCUGACGCUGAGAGACGAAAGCUAGGGGAGCAAAGGGG
RNAcentral lists this ribosomal RNA (253 nucleotides) under uncultured bacterium. RNAcentral's name for it is "partial 16S ribosomal RNA". It matches the Rfam family "Bacterial small subunit ribosomal RNA", at positions 524 to 776 of the family's 1533-position model. The record is from RNAcentral.